GACGAACGCUGGCGGCGUGCCUAAUACAUGCAAGUCGAACGCUGAAGAGAGGAGCUUGCUCUUCUUGGAUGAGUUGCGAACGGGUGAGUAACGCGUAGGUAACCUGCCUGGUAGCGGGGGAUAACUAUUGGAAACGAUAGCUAAUACCGCAUAAAAUGGAUUAUCGCAUGAUAAUCCAUUGAAAGGUGCAAAUGCAUCACUACCAGAUGGACCUGCGUUGUAUUAGCUAGUUGGUGGGGUAACGGCUCACCAAGGCGACGAUACAUAGCCGACCUGAGAGGGUGAUCGGCCACACUGGGACUGAGACACGGCCCAGACUCCUACGGGAGGCAGCAGUAGGGAAUCUUCGGCAAUGGACGGAAGUCUGACCGAGCAACGCCGCGUGAGUGAAGAAGGGUGUCGGAUCGUAAAGCUCUGUUGUAAGAGAAGAACGAGUGUGAGAGUGGAAAGUUCACACUGUGACGGUAUCUUACCAGAAAGGGACGGCUAACUACGUG
This 497-nucleotide ribosomal RNA is filed under the name uncultured bacterium. RNAcentral's name for it is "partial 16S ribosomal RNA". It matches the Rfam family "Bacterial small subunit ribosomal RNA", at positions 28 to 507 of the family's 1533-position model. The record is from RNAcentral.